RNAcentral lists this ribosomal RNA (905 nucleotides) under uncultured bacterium. RNAcentral describes it as "bacterial SSU rRNA". It matches the Rfam family "Bacterial small subunit ribosomal RNA", at positions 35 to 916 of the family's 1533-position model. The record is from RNAcentral.
GCAUGCGGCGUUCUAUAAUGCAGUCGAGCGAUGGAUUGAGAGCUUGCUCUCAAGAAGUUAGCGGCGGACGGGUGAGUAACACGUGGGUAACCUGCCCAUAAGACUGGGAUAACUCCGGGAAACCGGGGCUAAUACCGGAUAACAUUUUGAACUGCAUGGUUCGAAAUUGAAAGGCGGCUUCGGCUGUCACUUAUGGAUGGACCCGCGUCGCAUUAGCUAGUUGGUGAGGUAACGGCUCACCAAGGCAACGAUGCGUAGCCGACCUGAGAGGGUGAUCGGCCACACUGGGACUGAGACACGGCCUAGACUCCUACGGGAGGCAGCAGUAGGGAAUCUUCCGCAAUGGACGAAAGUCUGACGGAGCAACGCCGCGUGAGUGAUGAAGGCUUUCGGGUCGUAAAACUCUGUCGUUAGGGAAGAACAAGUGCUAGUUGAAUAAGCUGGCACCUUGACGGUACCUAACCAGAAAGCCACGGCUAACUACGUGCCAGCAGCCGCGGUAAUACGUAGGUGGCAAGCGUUAUCCGGAGUUAUUGGGCGUAAAGCGCGCGCAGGUGGUUUCUUAAGUCUGAUGUGAAAGCCCACGGCUCAACCGUGGAGGGUCAUUGGAAACUGGGAGACUUGAGUGCAGAAGAGGAAAGUGGAAUUCCAUGUGUAGCGGUGAAAUGCGUAGAGAUAUGGAGGAACACCAGUGGCGAAGGCGACUUUCUGGUCUGUAACUGACACUGAGGCGCGAAAGCGUGGGGAGCAAACAGGAUUAGAUACCCUGGUAGUCCACGCCGUAAACGAUGAGUGCUAAGUGUUAGAGGGUUUCCCGCCCUUUAGUGCUGAAGUUUAACGCAUUAAAGCACUCCCGCCCUGGGGAGUACGGCCGCAAGGGCUGGAACUCAAAGGGAAUUUGACGG